AACGCACAUUGCGCCCGCCAGUAUUCUGGCGGGCAUGCCUGUUCGAGCGUCAUUUCAACCCUCAAGCCCCCGGGCUUGGUGUUGGGGAUCGGCACAAGGCGCUGGCACCCUCGGGAGCCCGCGCCCGCCGUCCCCCAAAUCCAGUGGCGGUCACGCCGUGUGUACCUCAGCGUAGUAGCAACACCUCGCUCCGGAACCCUUCUGUGAACCACGCCGUAAAACCCCCGACUUUUUUCUGGUUGACCUCGAAUCAGGUAGGACUACCCGCUGAACUUAA
RNAcentral lists this unclassified non-coding RNA (277 nucleotides) under uncultured Nectriaceae. RNAcentral's name for it is "sequence contains ITS2". The stretch from base 1 to 52 matches the Rfam family "5.8S ribosomal RNA", at positions 103 to 154 of the family's 154-position model. The record is from RNAcentral. Lineage: Eukaryota; Fungi; Ascomycota; Sordariomycetes; Hypocreales; Nectriaceae. RNAcentral also lists the same sequence under 1 other name.